CCUACGGGGAGCUGCAGUCGAGAAUUAUUCACAAUGGGGGAAACCCUGAUGGUGCGACGCCGCGUGGGGGAAUGAAGGUCUUCGGAUUGUAAACCCCUGUCAUGUGGGAGCAAAUUAAAAAGAUAGUACCACAAGAGGAAGAGACGGCUAACUCUGUGCCAGCAGCCGCGGUAAUACAGAGGUCUCAAGCGUUGUUCGGAAUCACUGGGCGUAAGGCGUGCGUAGGCUGUUUCGUAAGUCGUGUGUGAAAGGCGCGGGCUCAACCCGCGGACGGCACAUGAUACUGCGAGACUAGAGUAAUGGAGGGGGAACCGGAAUUCUCGGUGUAGCAGUGAAAUGCGUAGAUAUCGAGAGGAACACUCGUGGCGAAGGCGGGUUCCUGGACAUUAACUGACGCUGAGGCACGAAGGCCAGGGGAGCGAAAGGGAUUAGAUACCCGGGUAGUC
This 446-nucleotide ribosomal RNA is filed under the name uncultured bacterium. RNAcentral describes it as "partial 16S ribosomal RNA". It matches the Rfam family "Bacterial small subunit ribosomal RNA", at positions 338 to 795 of the family's 1533-position model. The record is from RNAcentral.